Molecule: non-coding RNA, 68 nt
Filed under: Alishewanella sp. BS5-314
Lineage: Bacteria; Pseudomonadati; Pseudomonadota; Gammaproteobacteria; Alteromonadales; Alteromonadaceae
Source: RNAcentral
AAGCGAAACGCCCCGAAGUUCGGGGCGUCUGCCGGUGGUGGUUCACCGGUACUGAUGAGCAGCCGGAG